UUUUUCAGUCUAUUUUUCUCUAGCAAUUAUCUUCAAUGUUUAUGCUUACAAUAACCUUAGUAUUUGGCAUUACGACACUAAUAUGUGCCCAUGAGACAGACGGAGCACUACUUAUCCCAGAGGAGGUAUUAUUUAUUUAUUUAUUUAUUUUUUGAGAGGGAGGCUUGUUUCUUCACCCAGGCUGCAGUGCAAUGGUGUGAUCUCGGCUUACCGCGACCUCCGCCUUGACUCUCAGUUCAAGUGAUCCUCCCACCUCAGCCUUCCGAGUAGCUGGGACUAUAGGUGUACACCACCACACCCAGCUAAUUUUUGUAUUUUUUGUAGAGAUGGGGUUUCACCAUGUUGCCCAGACUGGUCUCCAACUGCCUGGGCUCAAGCGAUCCACCCACCUUGGCCCCCCAAGUGUUGGGAUUACAGGUGUAAGCCACCACACCCAACCUUAGAUUAAAAAAAAAAAUUAUCUAUUUUUAAUUAUCUCCUAAUUGUAAAAUUUUUACUUCCUUUUUUAUUUUUUUAAAUUCUCAGUGAUCCUUAUUCUGAUUCCUUUUGGUUUUGACAAUUAAAAAUUAUGAAAGCUGGUUGUUUUGUCUCCUAUUGCUGAAAUAAUUUAGUUGAUUUAACACUACAGAUGGUGUUAGGAUAAUGAAUACAGAACAUCAAUGAGAAUCUAAAUUAUAUCUCUUGAGACCUCCCUCAUUCCAAGGGAGGUCUCAUAAGUAUACAUGCAUACAUGUAUAACUUAU
This 743-nucleotide long non-coding RNA is filed under the name Homo sapiens (human). Its description in RNAcentral is "HSALNT0046232". Lineage: Eukaryota; Metazoa; Chordata; Mammalia; Primates; Hominidae. The record is from RNAcentral.